UAUUAAGUAUCUUAUAUUAAUAAAGAUUUAACCUUUUAAGUUAACUAAAAUAAAUUUUAUUCUUAAUAA
RNAcentral lists this transfer RNA (69 nucleotides) under Nomia chalybeata. RNAcentral describes it as "tRNA-Lys". The record is from RNAcentral. Lineage: Eukaryota; Metazoa; Arthropoda; Insecta; Hymenoptera; Halictidae.